CCUACGGGCGGCUGCAGUCGAGAAUCUUUGGCAAUGGACGCAAGUCUGACCAUGCGACGCCGCGUGCGGGAUGAAGGCUUUCGGGUCGUAAACCGCUGUUACGAGGAACGAAGUCUUCACUUUCUAACACAAGGUGGAGAUUGACGGUACCUCGAGAGAAAGCCACGGCUAACUCCGUGCCAGCAGCCGCGGUAAUACGGAGGUGGCAAGCGUUGCUCGGAUUUACUGGGUGUAAAGGGCAAGUAGGCGGUCUUGUAAGCCCUGCCUUAAAGGCUUUGGCUCAACCAAAGUAUGCGGCAGGGGACUGCAAGACUCGAGGACGGAAGAGGCGAACGGAAUUCCCGGUGUAAGGGUGAAAUCUGUAGAUAUCGGGAGGAACACCAGUGGCGAAGGCGGUUCGCUGGUCCGUUUCUGACGCUGAGGUGCGAAAGCUAGGGGAG
RNAcentral lists this ribosomal RNA (440 nucleotides) under uncultured bacterium. RNAcentral's name for it is "bacterial SSU rRNA". It matches the Rfam family "Bacterial small subunit ribosomal RNA", at positions 338 to 768 of the family's 1533-position model. The record is from RNAcentral.